RNAcentral lists this ribosomal RNA (468 nucleotides) under uncultured bacterium. RNAcentral's name for it is "partial 16S ribosomal RNA". It matches the Rfam family "Bacterial small subunit ribosomal RNA", at positions 28 to 507 of the family's 1533-position model. The record is from RNAcentral.
GACGAACGCUGGCGGCGUGCUUAACACAUGCAAGUCGAACGGAAAGGCCCUGCUUUUGUGGGGUGCUCGAGUGGCGAACGGGUGAGUAACACGUGAGUAACCUGCCCUUGACUUUGGGAUAACUUCAGGAAACUGGGGCUAAUACCGGAUAGGAGCUCCUGCUGCAUGGUGGGGGUUGGAAAGUUUCGGCGGUUGGGGAUGGACUCGCGGCUUAUCAGCUUGUUGGUGGGGUAGUGGCUUACCAAGGCUUUGACGGGUAGCCGGCCUGUGAGGGUGACCGGCCACAUUGGGACUGAGAUACGGCCCAGACUCCUACGGGAGGCAGCAGUGGGGAAUAUUGCACAAUGGGCGGAAGCCUAAUGCAGCAACGCCGCGUGCGGGAUGACGGCCUUCGGGUUGUAAACCGCUUUCGCCUGUGACGAAGCGUGAGUGACGGUAAUGGGUAAAGAAGCACCGGCUAACUACGUG